UAGGGAAUCUUCGGCAAUGGGGGGAACCCUGACCGAGCAACGCCGCGUGAGUGAAGAAGGUUUUCGGAUCGUAAAGCUCUGUUGUUAAGGAAGAACGAGUGUGAGAAUGGGAAGUUCAUGCUGUGACGGUACCUAACCAGAAAGCCACGGCUAACUACGUGCCAGCAGCCGCGGUAAUACGUAGGUGGCAAGCGUUGUCCGGAAUUAUUGGGCGUAAAGCGCGCGCAGGUGGUUUAGAAAGUCUGAUGUGAAAGCCCACGGCUCAACCGUGGAGGGUCAUUGGAAACUAAUAAACUUGAGUGCAGGAGAGAAAAGUGGAAUUCCUAGUGUAGCGGUGAAAUGCGCAGAUAUUAGGAGGAAUACCGGUGGCGAAGGCGACUUUCUGGCCAUAUACUGACGCUGAGGUACGAAAGCGUGGGUAGCAAACAGG
RNAcentral lists this ribosomal RNA (430 nucleotides) under Verrucomicrobiota bacterium. Its description in RNAcentral is "Verrucomicrobia bacterium partial 16S ribosomal RNA". It matches the Rfam family "Bacterial small subunit ribosomal RNA", at positions 355 to 776 of the family's 1533-position model. The record is from RNAcentral. Lineage: Bacteria; Pseudomonadati; Verrucomicrobiota.